Strigops habroptila (Kakapo) is the source of this 2074-nucleotide long non-coding RNA. Lineage: Eukaryota; Metazoa; Chordata; Aves; Psittaciformes; Psittacidae. The record is from Ensembl.
AUAAAACAGCCCACAAGGACUGGCAAAUAAAUAAAUCAUCUUAACUACGUUAUUAUCAUGGCUUGCCUGAGCUUCAUUGUCUCUUUCGUUCUUACCUGAAUGCCUGUUAUGUUUUUCUCCUUGUUCAAGAGAGGCAAUCAAAAGAGACUGUGAGCAGUAAAUGGCUCCUGCCCAUUCUGGAUGUUGCUAAAAAUACUACCUUACCUCUCUACAUCUAGAGGUCAAUUGAAAAAUCAAAAUACUGAGGUCAGCAACCCUGCAGACUGUUCUGUUGAGAUUUCUUGCAUUUCUUCCCAGAAGGAGAAUAUAAAACUGUCUGAACACAUAUGAAAGAAAUUCUCGUACAUUCUGCCAGCAGCUCAGCACCCUCCUCUGCUCUGAUGGCUGUAGCUCAGCGAGGCUUCCCCAGGCACUUGGAAAUUGCGUUUCUGGAUACAGCUUUGUAAGCCUGGCAGAUGUGUUCUGCACAGUUCUGUCAGAUCUCCCAGCUCUCAGGCAGACAAAAUUAGCUUUGGUACAGCUAAGAAGGAGAUGAUGUGUUCAACGUAUUGCAGUUUGGGUACGUGUCUGUACCUGCUUCCUUUUGUCUUAGGGAAGAUAGGUGCCACCACAGCACAGCAGCAUUACAGCCCCAGACGAGAUGAAAGAGUGGAAAGAUAUUUCAUGAACAAAGGCGCAGCAUCUGCAUGCAAAGAAAAAAAAAAUAACAAAGCAUAAAAUCCUGGAAUUGAUGGAGAAUCUGGCUAAUUAAAGGACUUAGAUCAGGUAUGAGAAAGGAGAAGAAAAAAGAGCAGAGUAGGAUAACCGUACUUUACACUGCUAGAAAAAGAGAAAGAAACAUGUUUGGGAAGCUUUGCAUGGCAAAAUAUAAAAAAAAUAAAAACAAGUAUGGAUGUGAUGGGACAGUAUGACAAUGACUGCUUCUUAGAAAGUGAGAAAUGACUGGUGGAUGGAUGUGUGCUAUUUCUCUGCAAAUAACGUACUGGUAGAGCUCAAGAAUCCAUACAGUGAGCACCCAGCCACCUCCACUGCACUGGCUUUUCCUACGUAGCACUUCCCCAGUUUGGAGCUGAUACUUUCUUGCCAUGGCUUUACCACUUCAUUGCUGAAUUCCUAAAGGAUGGCAGGAUGGCCAAAGACUUAAGCAAGGCUGUCUGGAAGCAAUUCGGCCCAGUUCACUAGGAGGGUUUGUUAAAAAUAACACUGCUGUUACCAUCUUCCUGGAGCUGGUGUUAGCCAUCAUCUCUCAGUGUCUGUCGUUGGUACGGAUAUGUAACAGUCAGGCAGCUCACCUAUCACCCUAGGACUCAAAAUGUGGGAGUAUCCAUUAUACUUACCAAGGUGCAAAAGUGCUUUUGGGGGUUCAUGGUACGUACAAUUCUGUAUUGAAAUAAAAAGUGUUAGUUCAUUUGAUUUAUGGCACCGUGAGUGCUUUUAGAUGUGUUGCUUUUUAAGGCUUCUCUGCUGAACUUGUCUGAGGAAGUUGUGGUCUUAUCUUGGAGACCCUCUUGUCAGCUGAUGUUAGUUUGUGAAGAUUCAUUGAUAUCCCUCUUUUUGUGGGCCUGUUCCAAUUCAUGCGGACUGAAUAUCUGCUUCAUGAAUUGUAACGUUGUGAUUCUCUCCUCUGUGAUCAAGUGACAAGGAAGGUGUUUGUUUGUUUGUUUUUCCUCCCCUUCCCAAGAUAGGAAGCAAUACGGGCAACCAAGCUAUCUUCUCUAUGAUGCUAACUGGCCAGUCUGAGUCACAGCUCCUGACUUAAAAAAAUCAGUUUUAGGAAGAGUAGAUAUAGCCCCUCCUGUCUCUCAUCAGUGCUGGGUAAUUGUCUUGAAGAAAACAAUGCAUUGUCUCAGUGUUGCUACUUCAAAGUCCUUUGGAUAAGAAAAUAGAUAAUUCAGUUAAGCCUUAGGUUCUUUCAGCAAACAUCAACAUUUCUGCCCCUUGGCGAUUGUUCAAGACAGUUUUAAAACAUUUAAGAGUCAUUAGAGCUAAUAGCUCCCAUUCUGCAUUUCCUUCAAUGAGGAGUAUCAGACCAAAAAAAAGCACUACCUUAUUCCUGCUACCUUAGUCAAGAAUU